This is a non-coding RNA of Paramuricea clavata, 218 nucleotides long. The record is from the annotation of a GenBank genome assembly. NCBI's taxonomy places the organism in Eukaryota, Metazoa, Cnidaria, Anthozoa, Malacalcyonacea, Plexauridae.
AAUUUAUUAAUUAAAUUUGCAUUAUCUUUUGUUUGUACGUCUCACUUCGAAUUCCCAUCGGCGGAAAAAUUUGAUUUCGAGCAACCAGUUUUAACACACGAUUUCUUGCUCAUUUUUGAUCUUAUUGAUAUAAGAACGACAUAAUCGGAAACCUAAUAGGCUAUUCUUAAUUGCCAUAUAAAAAUUAUAUGGUUUACUUUAGUAUUUUAUAAACAGCA